AUACCAUUAAUGUAUGUAUGUAUGCAUGUAUAUGAUACAGCAUUUCCCUAUCUACAAUUGAUACUAUUGAAUUUUAAAUGUGAGCAUGUAAAUUUAUUGCUAUAGAAUGGACAUUUGUUAAACUGAAACUUUUAGUUAGGGAAGGAAAUGCCAUCAGAGGUUCUUUUGACUUUUGCAAGCUAACUCUCAACCUUCUCUUGCUAUGAGUAUAUAUUAUCGGUUUUCAAUAAUGACUAAGCUAUACAAUUAAAAGGUUUAUCCCGUUCCCUUUGAUUUUGGAUCGUACUUGUGAUUAGCAUUCAAUCUCUGCUCUCUGUUGAGAGUUCCAACAAAAUUUUGGCUAUACAUGAUUGUGGCUGGUGGUAAAAUGCAGGAGUUGGAAUACAUUUUCGAUACUCAUAUUCCUACAAGGAGAGUUUAAUAUGUCCAAUGUGACAUGAAGCUUGUGCAUUUUAUGUCCUCUGAUGUUCUUUUUCUUAAUCGUUCAUGCAGAUGAUUGGCCUUGUUAUUUGUAGAGAAUUGUAGACAUUUGUAAAUGGUCGUAUUUGUGUUCUCAUUCUCUUUUUGCUUACUUUUGCAUCCACCUGUCUUAUGAUGAUUUUUUCUCUAAUGAGUAAUGUCCAUACAUAAUAUAGAGAAUAAUAUGAAAAGGUUGCUAUAUUGUUCUUAUUCAUACUAUUUCUAUUUACACAUGCAUAUUUAUGUAGCUAAGUAUAACAGUAGAAUACAGCAAACUAGGCAAGUGGUAAAUUAAAGUUCCUAAUAUUGAGGGAUCAUGUUUGACCAUGAUGUUGCUCCAUUAGAGACGCCAAUCUUGGACCAGAGAAAUUGAAGACCCUGGCAAGAGCCUUUGUGAGAGCAUCAGAACACGCAGUUAGAACUUAGAACAAAAAUUGGUAGCAUGAAUGCUGUCAAAAUAAAUGGCUGGAUCUUUUGCAAGUGAAACGCUGAGUUGAUGUAUAGGAGGGACUGAGCCCACACUAACUCUGCUGUAGAUGAAGCCACAGCUCUAUAUUCUGCUUCAGUAGAUGAGUGGGCAAUUGUUCAGUACUUGCAAGAACUCCAUGAAACAUGAUUGCUUCCAAGCUAAAUGAUAUAUGCAGAUGUAGAAGUAAAACCAUGGCGACUCCCCGCCCAAUCGGCAUCAGAAAAUUCAUGGAGACGAAGAGAGCCAUUUUGCUUGAGGGAAAGGCAUUAGACAAAUUUUCCCUUAAGAUAGCAUAGGAGGUGCUCGAGGGCUGUCCAGUGAGUUUGCAUGGGAAGGUGUAUGAAUCGACAGAGUAUAUUCACUAAAAAUGCUAUUUCAGGCCGGAUGAAAGAUAAGAUGUAUGGAACCAAGGAAACUUCGAAAUUCAGUAGGAUGAGUGGUUCACUGGUUUGGCUUUAGGAAUAUGAGUAGCUAUUUUCUUACCAAUGUCAAUUUAAGUCCACAUCUGUCUUUUUAUUAUGCCAAGAAUUGGUUAUUGCUUUAAAAGGGAGAGUUAUAACUUAUAGUUCUGUAGCUACAUCCCCAAAUUCUAAUCUUUGGUAGGUGUUCAGUCAAGUCAUUAUUAAAUUGUUAUUUGGGAUGAGAACUGAAAUAAAUUGACUAGGUGAAUCUACUUCUUGUUGCUAAUAGAUCUGAACUAUUUGUACUUCA
Molecule: long non-coding RNA, 1639 nt
Organism: Ricinus communis (castor bean)
Lineage: Eukaryota; Viridiplantae; Streptophyta; Magnoliopsida; Malpighiales; Euphorbiaceae
Exons: 2
Source: RefSeq, a predicted model, not a curated record